CCUACGGGAGGCAGCAGUGGGGGAUAUUGCACAAUGGGGGAAACCCUGAUGCAGCGACGCCGCGUGUGGGAAGACGGUCCUCUGGAUUGUAAACCACUGUCCCCAGGGACGAAGAUGACGGUACCUGGGGCGGAAGCUUCGGCUAACUACGUGCCAGCAGCCGCGGUAAUACGUAGGGAGCGAGCGUUGUCCGGAAGUACUGGGUGUAAAGGGAGCGUAGGCGGGACUGCAAGUUGGGUGUCAAAUCUACCGGCUCAACCGGUAGCCGCACUCAAAACUGCAGUUCUUGAGUGAAGUAGAGGCAGGCGGAAUGCCUAGUGUAGCGGUGAAAUGCGUAGAUAUUAGGAGGAACACCAGUGGCGAAGGCGGCCUGCUGGGCUUUUACUGACGCUGAGGCUCGAAAGUGUGGGUAGCGAACAGGAUUAGAUACCCGUGUAGUC
This 440-nucleotide ribosomal RNA is filed under the name uncultured bacterium. Its description in RNAcentral is "partial 16S ribosomal RNA". It matches the Rfam family "Bacterial small subunit ribosomal RNA", at positions 338 to 795 of the family's 1533-position model. The record is from RNAcentral.